Long non-coding RNA from Malaclemys terrapin pileata, 567 nucleotides. RefSeq lists it as uncharacterized. NCBI's taxonomy places the organism in Eukaryota, Metazoa, Chordata, Testudines, Emydidae. The transcript is spliced from 3 exons. The record is from RefSeq and is a predicted model, not a curated record.
CGGCCUCCCCCGUGGGAGAGAGCGGAGGGGAGCGGGAGCCCUGCCACACGCUCCCCACUGGAGACAACGGGGCCCUAAUUAGUGCUGUGAUCCCCUGACGUGAGGGGGCAGCAGCUCGGUCACACACAUUGCACAGGAGGGGGCGGGUAUUGGGUCUGAUACUGCCGUGGGGCGGAGGGAGCAGCUCCGUUAAACACCCGCUUCCUGGCAGAGAAGGGCCUUCCACCUCCACAGGAUAAUUCAUGGCACCUGAAGCCUGGGUGCCUGAACCACCUUACUGUGGGGAAAGAGAGUCUAGGAUGAGCUAAUGGGAGACCUGCUUGAUUAAACAAAUUCCAGGUUCCAACUCAGCUACCAAAAGGAUAAGGAUAUUUGCAGGGAAGAAAGAGACACAGCAUGAGGAGAGACUGGCAGAGAGAGAGGCACGGGCAGCUCUCCUGACAAUGCUAUAAUCAGAGCUACAGGGACACCUCUACCAGAACCGCCAAAGAACCAGAAAUCUGCUCUGAGACCUUUAACAACAACAACAGAUGGAUGGAUGAAGCACUGUACACUUUGUCUUCUGUU